GCAUAUCAAUAAGCGGAGGAAAAGAAACCAACAGGGAUUGCCCUAGUAACGGCGAGUGAAGCGGCAACAGCUCAAAUUUGAAAUCUGGCUCUUUUAGAGUCCGAGUUGUAAUUUGCAGAGGGCGCUUUGGCGUUGGCAGCGGUCUAAGUUCUUUGGAACAGGACGUCACAGAGGGUGAGAAUCCCGUACGUGGUCGCUAGCCUUCGCCGUGUAAAGCCCCUUCGACGAGUCGAGUUGUUUGGGAAUGCAGCUCUAAAUGGGAGGUAAAUUUCUUCUAAAGCUAAAUACUGGCCAGAGACCGAUAGCGCACAAGUAGAGUGAUCGAAAGAUGAAAAGCACUUUGGAAAGAGAGUCAAACAGCACGUGAAAUUGUUGAAAGGGAAGCGCUUGCAGCCAGACUUGCCUGUAGUUGCUUAUCCGGACUUUUGUCCGGUGCACUCUUCUGCGGGCAGGCCAGCAUCAGUUUGGGCGGUUGGAUAAAGGUCUCUGUCAUGUACCUCUCUUCGGGGAGGCCUUAUAGGGGAGACGACAUGCAACCAGCCUGGACUGAGGUCCGCGCAUCUGCUAGGAUGCUGGCGUAAUGGCUGUAAGCGGCCCGUCUUGAAACACGGACCAAGGAGUCUAACAUCUAUGCGAGUGUUUGGGUGUCAAGCCCAGACGCGUAAUGAAAGUGAACGGAGGUGGGAACCCUUUGGGUGCACCAUCGACCGAUCCUGAUGUCUUCGGAUGGAUUUGAGUAAGAGCAUGGCUGUUGGGACCCGAAAGAUGGUGAACUAUGCUUGAAUAGGGUGAAGCCAGAGGAAACUCUGGUGGAGGCUCGCAGCGGUUCUGACGUGCAAAUCGAUCGUCAAAUUUGGGCAUAGGGGCGAAAGACUAAUCGAACUAUCUAGUAGCUG
This 896-nucleotide ribosomal RNA is filed under the name Jeremyomyces labinae. RNAcentral's name for it is "partial 28S ribosomal RNA". It matches the Rfam family "Eukaryotic large subunit ribosomal RNA", at positions 38 to 953 of the family's 3401-position model. Lineage: Eukaryota; Fungi; Ascomycota; Dothideomycetes; Pleosporales; Phaeosphaeriaceae. The record is from RNAcentral.